RNAcentral lists this small RNA (272 nucleotides) under Microcebus murinus (gray mouse lemur). RNAcentral's name for it is "Metazoan signal recognition particle RNA (ENSMICG00000042007.1)". The stretch from base 1 to 152 matches the Rfam family "Metazoan signal recognition particle RNA". Rfam says of the family: The signal recognition particle (SRP) is a universally conserved ribonucleoprotein. Lineage: Eukaryota; Metazoa; Chordata; Mammalia; Primates; Cheirogaleidae. The record is from RNAcentral.
GCCGGGCAUGGUGGCGCAUGCCUGUAAUCCCAGCUACUCGGGAGGCUGAGGCAGGAGGAUUGCUUGAGCCCAGGAGUUUGAGGUUGCUGUGAGCUAGGCUGAUGCCACAGCACUCACUCUAGUCUAGGCAACAAAGCGAGACUCUGUCUCAAAAAAAAAAAACAACCAGUUAAGAUGGCCUGUAAUCCUAGUACUCUGGGAGGCCUAGGCAGGAGGAUUGCUCAAGGUCAGGAGUUAGAAACCCACCUGAGCAAGAGCAAGACCCCGUCUCU